GGCGGAAGCAGGUUCCGUGCGGGCCCUACAGCAGCAUCCAAGCCCCUGUCCUCUCGGCACCUGAGUUCUUGUUUGGCAUCCAGGAAGAAUUAGGUCACCCACACGGAUUGAAAGGCCCCCAGAUGAGACAGGAUUGUUCCCUUCAUCUUAACCCCCUUCGUGGGCGGGAACUGGAGCAGCUCAUUUCACUCAGCUCGCCUCCUGCCACUCCUGGCGGCAGAGCGUGCGAGUGCGGGAACCGGAGCGACCGAAUGCUGGAACCGGCCGGUCACUCCUCUCUGGCGGGAAUAGGCUCUGUGCGGGCCUCACAGCAGCGUCCAAGCCCUGGCCUCUCGGCACCGGGGUACCUGUCCGGCGUCCAGGAAGAAUUAGGUCAUAUGAACGGAUUGAAGAGUAGUGUAUGCGGAAGAUUUGAUUGAGUGGUGGCUCCUGGUGGGAUGGGUACUGGAAAGCAGACGGUGAAAGAGGGUCAUCUUUCCCUGAAGCCGCACCAUCUGAAGUUAGCUGCGUCUAUCUGUAGUCUUCAACACUCUUGCUGCUUCUCUGCUCACCGCUCAGCCGCUUGUGUUGCUCUGCCAGCUGAAGUCUUUUUUAUGGCCACAGGAUAGGGGCGUGGCAGGCCAAAAAAACAACAUUUGGGCAGAAAAACAGGGUCAGCUGUUUUCAAGGCCGUGAUUCCAGGCUUAAGGGUGGGGUUUAGCUGGGAACCCAGCCAUUCUGUAUCAGUGAUAGUUGCACAACUAUAAAUAUACUAACAACCAUUGAAUUGUGUACUUUAAGUAGAUUAACCGUAUGAUAUAUGAAUUACAUCUCAGUAAAGUUGUUUUUUAAAAAAUAUGCAUAUACCUUAGUCUAGCCGUUCCAGGUCAUAUACUACAGCGAUAGUAACAAAGAUAUAAUAUGUGGUUUAUAAUAAUAAAUAUUGGAAAUACUUAAUCUUGCAAAUGCAUGAUCAGUAAGGUAGUGGAGGCAAAAACUAGGUUUCCCAGGAGCUUCAGGCUUCUCAACUUCCAAGUAGUAAUCUCAAGGAAGUACGUACUCUGACUGAAACUGUUUAUGUCACAGACCUACUCCUUAGACCAAUCACUGUUCCCAUAGAGAUAGCUCAUUAUGAUUUGUGGAGUCAGAAUCAUGUGCCCACUGCUGAAAUCAGGAAUUCAGGGUCCUGGGAGAGUCACCCGUGCCACCCACCUAAUGUUUUCUGGAAGUUUGACUUUAAAAGGAAGAAGACAGCAAGAGAUCAAUAUAGCUAGAGUGUGGAGAUGAGGUGUUUUCUUUAAAAUAGAGGUGACUUGAACACGUUUAAAUGCUUGUGCAAAGUAGCCAAUAUAGAGGGAGCAGUUAAAGACACAAAAGAAAUAGAAUAUUUCUAAUCAAUAGAUCUCAGGAAAUUAUUAUUUCCCACUAUCCCUCAGAAAAUUAUAUUCAAUAAAGGAAUUUGUUUCUGGCUCCUUGGAGGAUUAACUUUCCUUUUCAUGCUUAGGCAAUACAAAGUUGAAUCACCACUUUAAACCACA
RNAcentral lists this long non-coding RNA (1517 nucleotides) under Homo sapiens (human). RNAcentral's name for it is "HSALNT0316453". Lineage: Eukaryota; Metazoa; Chordata; Mammalia; Primates; Hominidae. The record is from RNAcentral.